RNAcentral lists this ribosomal RNA (253 nucleotides) under uncultured bacterium. RNAcentral describes it as "partial 16S ribosomal RNA". It matches the Rfam family "Bacterial small subunit ribosomal RNA", at positions 524 to 776 of the family's 1533-position model. The record is from RNAcentral.
UACAGAGGGUGCGAGCGUUGUUCGGAAUUAUUGGGCGUAAAGGGCGCGUAGGCGGUGCGGUAAGUCACCUGUGAAAUCUCCUGGCUCAACUAGGAGCUUGCAGGCGAAACUGCCGUGCUGGAGUGUGGGAGAGGUGCGUGGAAUUCCUGGUGUAGCGGUGAAAUGCGUAGAUAUCAGGAGGAACACCUGUGGCGAAAGCGGCGCACUGGACCACAACUGACGCUGAGGCGCGAAAGCUAGGGGAGCAAACAGG